UUUCGCAAUGCCCGAAAGGGAGACGAAGCGACGCCGCGUGUGGGAAGAAGGCCUUCGGGUUGUAAACCACUGUCGGGAGUUAGGAAAUGCAGGUGCGUUAAUAGCGCACUUGCUUGACUAAGGCUCCAGAGGAAGCCACGGCUAACUCUGUGCCAGCAGCCGCGGUAAUACAGAGGCGGCAAGCGUUGUUCGGAAUUAUUGGGCGUAAAGAGCACGUAGGCGGCCUUGCAAGUCAGUUGUGAAAGCCUUCCGCUUAACGGAAGAACGGCAUCUGAUACUACAGGGCUUGAGUACGGGAGGGGAGAGUGGAACUUCUGGUGGAGCGGUGAGAUGCGUAGAUAUCAGAAGGAACGCCGGCGGCGAAAGCGACUCUCUGGUCCGAAACUGACGCUGAGUGUGCGAAAGCUAGGGGAGCAAACGGGAUUAGAUACCCCGGUAGUCCUAGCCGUAAACGAUGGGCACUAAGUAGAGGGGUUUU
Molecule: ribosomal RNA, 478 nt
Filed under: uncultured Planctomycetales bacterium
Lineage: Bacteria; Pseudomonadati; Planctomycetota; Planctomycetia; Planctomycetales
Description: bacterial SSU rRNA
Rfam family: Bacterial small subunit ribosomal RNA
Source: RNAcentral